UUACAGUAAAGAAUUGAAGUGCGAAUUCUUGUUGUUAGAAGGUUGCGCAAGUUCGGAAUGACAAGAUUGUAACGAAAAGCCCGACGCUGA
This 90-nucleotide small RNA is filed under the name Flavobacterium fluvii. Its description in RNAcentral is "Flavo-1 RNA". Lineage: Bacteria; Pseudomonadati; Bacteroidota; Flavobacteriia; Flavobacteriales; Flavobacteriaceae. The record is from RNAcentral.